AUUGAACGCUGGCGGCAGGCCUAACACAUGCAAGUCGAGCGGAUGAAGGGAGCUUGCUCCUGGAUUCAGCGGCGGACGGGUGAGUAAUGCCUAGGAAUCUGCCUGGUAGUGGGGGAUAACGUCCGGAAACGGGCGCUAAUACCGCAUACGUCCUGAGGGAGAAAGUGGGGGAUCUUCGGACCUCACGCUAUCAGAUGAGCCUAGGUCGGAUUAGCUAGUUGGUGGGGUAAAGGCCUACCAAGGCGACGAUCCGUAACUGGUCUGAGAGGAUGAUCAGGCACAUGGGAACUGAGACACGGUCCAGACUCCUACGGGAGGCAGCAGUGGGGAAUAUUGGACAAUGGGCGAAAGCCUGAUCCAGCCAUGCCGCGUGUGUGAAGAAGGUCUUCGGAUUGUAAAGCACUUUAAGUUGGGAGGAAGGGCAGUAAGUUAAUACCUUGCUGUUUUGACGGUACCAACAGAAUAAGCACCGGCUAACUUCGUG
This 484-nucleotide ribosomal RNA is filed under the name uncultured bacterium. RNAcentral's name for it is "partial 16S ribosomal RNA". It matches the Rfam family "Bacterial small subunit ribosomal RNA", at positions 30 to 507 of the family's 1533-position model. The record is from RNAcentral.